CGUAGGCAGCAAGCGUUGUUCGGAAUUACUGGGCGUAAAGAGUACGUAGGUGGUUUGCUAAGUCCGAUGUGAAAUCUCCCGGCUUAACUGGGAGGGUGCGUUAGAUACUGGCAGGCUUGAGUGUGGGAGAGGAGAGCGGAAUUCCUGGUGUAGCGGUGAAAUGCGUAGAUAUCAGGAGGAACGCCUGUGGUGUAGACGGCUCUCUGGACCAUUACUGACACUGAGGUACGAAAGCGUGGGUAGCAAACAGGAUUAGAUACCCUGGUAGUCCACGCCCUAAACGAUGCAUACUUGGUGUGGGCAGUUCAGUCUGUCCGUGCCGGAGCUAACGCGUUAAGUAUGCCGCCUGGGGAGUACGGUCGCAAGGCUG
Molecule: ribosomal RNA, 370 nt
Filed under: uncultured organism
Description: bacterial SSU rRNA
Rfam family: Bacterial small subunit ribosomal RNA
Source: RNAcentral